GACGAACGCUGGCGGCGUGCUUAACACAUGCAAGUCGAACGGACAGGCCCUGCUUUUGUUGGUUGCUCGAGUGCCGAACGGGUGAGAAACACGUGAGUAACCUCCCCCUGUCUGUGUGGUAACUUCAGGAGACUCGGGCUAAUACCCCAUAGGAGCUCCUGCUGCGUAGGGGGGGUUGGUGAGUUUCGGCGGUUGUGGCUGGACUAGCGGGUUAUCAGCUUGUUGGUCGAGUAGUGGCUUACCAAGGCUAUGACGGGUAGGCGGCCUGAGAGGGUGACCGGCGACCUUGGGCCUGAGAUACGGCCCAGACGGCAACGGGAGGCAGCAGUCGGGAAUAUUGCAGAGUAGGCGGAAGCCUGAGGAAGCAACGCCGCGUGCGUAAUGACGGCUUACUGGGUGUAAACCGCUUUCGCCUGUGACAAAGCGUGAGUGACGGUAAUGGGUAAAGAAGCACCGGCUAACUACGUG
This 468-nucleotide ribosomal RNA is filed under the name uncultured bacterium. RNAcentral's name for it is "partial 16S ribosomal RNA". It matches the Rfam family "Bacterial small subunit ribosomal RNA", at positions 28 to 507 of the family's 1533-position model. The record is from RNAcentral.